Molecule: long non-coding RNA, 985 nt
Filed under: Marmota monax (woodchuck)
Lineage: Eukaryota; Metazoa; Chordata; Mammalia; Rodentia; Sciuridae
Source: RNAcentral
CACAUGCCUGUAACCCUAGUGAUUCAGGAGGCUAAAGCAGGAGGAUCAAGAAUUUGAAGCCAGUCUCAGCAAUUUAGUAAGACCUGCCUCCAAAGAAAAAAAAAAGUAAAAAGCAGGGGGAAAAAAUCCUACAUUUUUAUCCUUCUCUUGGAUGACAAGGACCAAACCCAUUAAUUCUGUUUACUAUGUUCUAUGUGUGUAUUUGACUUGUAUGACCUGCAUCCUACCAAUGUGACCGUGCACGGGUGUAUUUAAAACCUGUGCGUCAUUAUUGUCACUUGACAUUCGUUUUGGUGAGAGAUGGAAUUCUCUCCCCUUCAGUACAUGGAAACCAUCAUUCCAUGGUCUUUCUGGCAUUCACUGCUACAGCUUUUGUAGGUGUUUUGUUUUUCCCCUUUGAAUGUAUUUAAGAUUUUCUCCUCUUUGGUUUUCUGCAGAUUCACCAUCACCUGUUUGUGUUUGGAUUUCUUUUUAUUAUACCAGUCAUUUUGUGGGUGUCCUGAAUCUGUAGUUUGGUAUCUGUCUUUUCAAAUAUUGCUUCUGCACACCCUCCCUCCAGUUAUAAACUUGUUAGGCUCCUGCUUUCUCGGUUUCCAUCUCUGCGUAUCACUAUCACUGGCUUUCCUUUCUUUCAUCUAUCACUAUAGCAAACUACACUGCUAGAUUUUCCAGUGUUGAGCCAACCCGUCACUCCCGAGAGGACUCUCAAUUGGUCAUUAUGUAACAUCUUCUUUAUAUGUUGCUGUGUGUGCUGGGUUUGCUAAACUCACCAAAGGCUUCUGUGAGCAUUACAAAUAUUGCUUGGGGUUUGCCUUUAUUAUAACAUCUUUUGUCUGGUCUUCCUAUAGGGCUGGUCCUCAAAAAUAAUUAGAAAAAUUUCCUCCCCAUCUAUUUUCUGAAAAAGAUUUUUGUCAGAUUAGUAUUCUUUUCUUCUUAAAUAUUUAGUACAAUUUUCCAACAAAACCAUUUGGACCUAAAAUUUUCU